RNAcentral lists this long non-coding RNA (309 nucleotides) under Carica papaya (papaya). RNAcentral describes it as "long non-coding RNA (CPAP_LNC013789)". The record is from RNAcentral. Lineage: Eukaryota; Viridiplantae; Streptophyta; Magnoliopsida; Brassicales; Caricaceae.
UUGAACUAGAAGAUAAGGAGAACAUAUUUUUUAACAUUCCUCCUUUUAAACACUGCACUCUCUAAAGUAACCACCAUACUAGAAAAUCAGGGUUCAUAAAAUAAGCUUGAACCUCAAGUUAUACAAGAAAUGUUUUCUUUAGGUGUAUUCAAUAAGAAAAUACUUGGAUUUUUUAUCCAAAGCAAGUUUAAGAAUCCGGCUCGUGUGUUGAAAAUGAGGUAAGGUUUGAUAACCGCUUUCUUUCUAAUAUUGAUAUACUUAUUACACUUAGAAAUGGACGACAGGAUGCAUUAGGCAUCCAUUCUACCC